UCCCGGGUGGCUCAGAUGGUAAAGAAUCUGCCUGCAGUGUAGGAGACCCAGGUUCAAUCCCUGGGUCAGGAA
This 72-nucleotide transfer RNA is filed under the name Bos taurus (domestic cattle). It matches the Rfam family "tRNA". Rfam says of the family: Transfer RNA (tRNA) molecules are approximately 80 nucleotides in length. The record is from Rfam by way of RNAcentral. RNAcentral also lists the same sequence under 1 other name. Lineage: Eukaryota; Metazoa; Chordata; Mammalia; Artiodactyla; Bovidae.